GUGGACUUCUGUUUCCGUGUCGUUUGGAGAUGUUUAACCGUGACGUGUGGCAGGACUGUACGCCACAUGGCAGCAGAUGAAUCCGUACCUCCCAAAGGAAGACUCGGAGAAGACGUGUCGUGCCAACCCUUUGUUAACCCACAGAAGACAAAGCCAUGCUUUUAUUUUAUGUCAUUUCUUGGAGGUGACCAUACCUCCGAUUACACCUGGUUUUAGGUAGACAUGUUAACAAAAUGCCAGCAUAAAAAGAAUGAGGUUGUCCACAUGGAAACCAGCUGCCGUCCAUUGAGAAUCACUCUCGGGCCAUGAGCGUGGAAGGUACUGGUGUAGGGAGCCAGGCUACUGAUGCACGUGGAAACACAACCUUGCACCGACAGGGGGGAGCUCCGCUGUGAAGCCACCCAGGGGCUCACCACUCCCCUGGCCACUCCAGAUCUCGAACAAAGAGAGCCAGAUGGAGGACCAAGGCGUCCACCUGCCUCAGCGGCAGGGGAAGGGGGCCAAGAAAUUCAGCAAGAGGAGAAAAGCAGCUGAGAGGGUCUUGAGAGAGAGUCUAGGACUCAGAUGACCAGAGAAAAGGUUCUCAGGGAAAAAGAGUGGGUGUGGGGGGUGACAAAUGCUGAGUGUUUGGGGACACAGCUAGCUGCCCAGGGAACCCCGAGGUGACUAAAGGGGAAGCUCUGUGAGAAGCAGAGGAAGUAAAGGAGACCCCAGUGGACACUCUGGACACCUGAGGCUCGGGUGAGCUCCGCACCCUGAGGGCUCAGAGACUGUAUCCAAGACCUUUCCAAAUGUCACCCUCUGCGCCUGUUCAUGUGGCUGGUUCUGAAUCAUGUCCCUUUCUAUAAAGCUCUGACAGUAAGUGUGGGGCUUCCUAUACCCUGUGAAUUAUUCUAGUAAGUGAUUGACCUGGAGAGGGUCACGGGGACUCUUGGAUUUGCAGUCACAUGGUCAGAAGGGCAGGUGGCCUGGGGAUCUCUGAGCUUGUAGCUGGUAGUCUGAGUGACAGGAACCUACCUGUGGACUUGACCUAACUCUGCAUGGCUAAUGCCACGGUUGCACUGUAGGCCGGUGAAACCUGGGCGCCUGUUUGUGCCUGGUGUCCAGUCCCGCGUGACAGGUGCCUAUCAGCAUACCUGAGAAUAAGCAGCGAAUUAAGAAGUCAAAGUGGCAUCCUGCAGGGUUCUGGCCCACGGGAGGGUAGAGGCUUCUGUUCACCGUGAGGCCUCAAGGUCUGAGCACUUCUUGCUCCCAGAGGAUCAUGGGAGCUGAGCCAGGUGGGGUUUGGGGCCCAACAACCUCCCUCCUUGCUGUUGAGUCUCAGGAUGGCGUUUCUUGUCUUUUUCUUUUUCCUGCAGCCUGCACUGGUGUGUCACUUCCCGACAGAGUCGCCCUAGAGAGCUCUUGGUAUGUCUUUGUCAUCGCUCAAAGUCCUGCAAAGAACAGAGUGUCCCGGCCCAUCUCCACGCCUGGCUUCUUGUUCUGUCCCUUUCUGCUCCCAGCCAGCCCGGGGCGCAAGCCGACUGUUCAGAAGAGGGAUGAUUAGCUACCAGCGUUGCUUCUGAAACUGCCUCUCCGAACGUCCUCGAACGUCCUCCCUCCUCCGCUGUUUAUUGUUUGCCCACUAUCAAAUGUUCCCCCAGCUGUGGCAGCCCAAGUUCAAAGCCGGCCCCUGGCAACAGAGCGUGUCCCUGGAGGGUUUUCCGCAGAGCUGAUAAAUGCCCACGUGUGGCUCUUGCCAGCAGCUGCCCCCUCUGUUGGGUUCUUCAAGGCAAAUCAGAAUCUGCCCGAGAGAAAUCAUAGAUCUCAGCAUUGCACCGUGCUCUCAGCCUUGGGCCGCGCAGACUUGCUCCUGCAAAGCCAGGAGAGCCAGAGUGGUGUCCCCGUGGGCCCUGCUGAGGGUCUUGUGUAGUCUACCCCGGGCAAGGCAGAGGCCUGCAGGGUGGUGAGCAGCCUGGCCCUGACCUCACGGCAAGCAGCCUCCAUCUCCUGUGUGUUACCCGAUCCCACAAACUGACAAGCAGUAAAGAAGGACUCCCGCGCGGGAAGCUGGGGGCCGGGUAGAGUCUGUCAGAAUGGAAUUUUUCGGGGUCAGACGCAGCUCACUGAAGACUGCAAUUAGUGGGCAGACAGAAAAGCCUCGUCAGCUGGGGCCUGGCUUGUUUUGCAUCUGCUGAGCGGUGCUCAUCGCCUCAUGGAACAACACAGACGCGGGGGGGGGGGGGACUCGGGGCCACACACCUGAUACACACCCUGCGGGGACCGCGAUGGCCAGACCCUCUGUGGAGAUGGGGAGGGAGGUCGGAGGGAAUCGCCUGGCCCAGAUCAAGCUCCUGUCUGGCCGCAGAGGCAGCUGCCCCGGGUGGCCGUCCCGUGGGGUGGCCUCCACCAGCCCUGGUCCCUGAGACACUGCGAUGCAAUUAGUCAUGACAGCUUCCCCCGGAAGCGGGGGAGGGGGAAAUUCCGACUUAUUGUCAGCGGUCAUUAGUGGAGAAAGUGCUCAGCCAUAAUUCCAAGAGGGGCCACCUUGAAGACACUGGCUAUGUUCCUCCCCCCUCUAAAUUCCGGAUGUGAAUUGAAAGCACAGAAGCAAUUGCAGGACGGGCCCGAGGCCAAACUCCCUUUGCUGGGUGGAAUCAUAACAAGCAGAUUUUCUUGGUGUAGAAGUGGACUUGGAAGAGAAAUCGAGAACAGGUCGACAGGCAUGGUAGCUGCAGCGUUGACCAUGUGAGGACAGAGGGUCCUGGUGGCCCGUCACUGGGAUAGGUGACAUCCUCCAAGGUACUCACUGUGUAUUUCAUCCUCCGUGGAGGGGGGGGGGCAGGGCUGUGCUCGCUCACUUUGGACCCAGGCAGGCAUUUGCUGCCACCUCAUUCAAGAGAAGAUGGCAGAGGUGACCACCUGUGCCUUUCAUAACUAGAUCCUGAAUGUCCUUCCAGUUUCUGCUUGGUCUCACGGCUCUUUUGCUCUUACAACAGUUGUUCUUGAAACCCAGCUGCCAUCUUGUGAGGAAGCCCAGGCCACAAGAAGAGGCCACGUGGAGGUGUCUCAGCCCCAAUUCAACCAUCAGCAUAGACCUCCAGACCUGAGGGACAGGCCUUCAGAGUGCCCACAGAGCAAAGCAAGCCCUCUGCUGCUCCCUGGCUUGACCUCCUGGCCCAAAGGAACCUCGAGCAACAUAAAGGACGAUCGUUGUGUGAGCAUCCGAGAGUGGGUAACGUGUUGCACCGAAGGGACUCUGACUCAGGCCUCUUAUCUAGUGGGUGCCCGCUGACCACAUGCUUGAGGGUGACUUCCUUUUGUAGGUUGUUAAAGGAUAAUAUCCAGAGCCCAGUGCAGGGCAGGGAUUCAGGGUUGCUUUAUUUGGCUCCAUGGAUAGUUCUCCAAAGUCAGG
Molecule: long non-coding RNA, 3394 nt
Filed under: Marmota monax (woodchuck)
Lineage: Eukaryota; Metazoa; Chordata; Mammalia; Rodentia; Sciuridae
Source: RNAcentral